GCCAGGCAUGGUGGCACAUGCCUGUAAUCCCAGUGCUCAGGAGGCUGAGGCAGGAGCAUCACAAGUUCAAAGUCAGCUUCAGCAUCUUAGUGAGGCCUUAAUAAACUCAGUGAGAAUCUGUCUCUA
RNAcentral lists this small RNA (126 nucleotides) under Marmota monax (woodchuck). The record is from RNAcentral. Lineage: Eukaryota; Metazoa; Chordata; Mammalia; Rodentia; Sciuridae.